AUUGAACGCUGGCGGCAGGCUUAACACAUGCAAGUCGAGCGGGGAAGGGUAGCUUGCUACCUGACCUAGCGGCGGACGGGUGAGUAAUGCUUAGGAAUCUGCCUAUUGGUGGGGGACAACAUUCCGAAAGGAAUGCUAAUACCGCAUACGCCCUACGGGGGAAAGCAGGGGAUCUUCGGACCUUGCGCUAAUAGAUGAGCCUAAGUCAGAUGAUCGCUAGUUGGUGGGGUAAAGGCCUACCAAGGCGACGAUCUGGAGCGGGUCUGAGAGGAUGAUCCACCACACGGGGACGUAGACACGGCCCAGACGCCUGCGGGAGGCAGCAGGGGGGAAUAUUGGACAAUGGGCGAAAGCCUGAUCCAGCCAGGCCGAGUGUGUGAAGAAGGUCUUUUGGUUGUAAAGCACUUUAAGCGAGGAGGAGGCUACCGAGAUUAAUACUCUUGGAUAGUGGACGUUACUCGCAGAAUAAGCACCGGCUAACUCUGUGCCAGCCGCCGCCGUAA
Molecule: ribosomal RNA, 503 nt
Filed under: uncultured bacterium
Lineage: Bacteria
Description: partial 16S ribosomal RNA
Rfam family: Bacterial small subunit ribosomal RNA
Source: RNAcentral